GAAAUCCAAAGCUUAUAAUGCAAUGGUUUUCAAUUUUUGCUAAUGGGGGUGGAUUGGAUCACAAAAAGGGUGCCAAAGCAUUAUCACAAUUUGCAUUUGUGAAUCGUGAUAUAUGUUGGGAGGAGCUUGAGUGGAAAGGAAAACAUGGGCAAUCCCCUGCUGUGGUGGCUACAAAGCCUCAUUACUUUCUUGAUUUGAAUGUCCAACGAACAGUGGAAAAUUUUCUUGACAAUGUACCUGAAUUUUGGUCUUCCACUGAGUUUGCUGAGUCCUUGAGAGAUGGUGAUAUUUUGUUCAUUGAUACCAAGUACUUUGUCGAAUUUUUUGUUGGCUUGAUGUACAAAGAGGAUUCAAGAGAUGUAUGGGAAGUUAUAAGUCAGUUUCUUAUGAAUGAAUCUUUUUCCUUUUUGUGUAACAGCCUCCUUAUCACUCUUGGAGACAGGGAAUUGUUCACUGUUCUGGAAUUGCUUCAUAUUUAUUUAAGCAUGAAUAUGGAACCAGUGGAUUUUGGUAACUCAUCUUGUUGGCUUGAGUUUGCACUUUCUAGAUUCAAUGAUUGUGAAUCUUUUGAUUAGCUGCUUCUGUUAAAUGCUGUUAUCAAUCAUGGACUGCCAGCUUCUGCGGCUUGUGCAUGAUGUAGAGUCGCAGGAGGAACAAACAAAAAUCAAGGACAUUGUAUCUCAGAUAUGCACAAUCUCAAGCACGGGAAACAGCUUGGAUCCUUUACUGAAUGAAUGCUUCAAGAUGAAGACAACAGAAGCAAUUAAGUUCUUGGGGCUUCAGUCUUGGGUUAUUCAUUAUGCAUUAUCAGACGAAAGCCGAAUUUCAGAAUCCUGGGAAUCUUUAUUUUCAAAUAAUGGUAUAAGUUUCCAAAAGUCUGAUAAAUAUGCAAUGCUACAUCACGUCGGAUUGUCAGAAGAAAGUGACUAUGAAUUGGAUAAUGUUGCAUCAGUUAAGAGAAAGCGCAGGAAGAAAAAGAAAAGUAGAAAAAAGAAAAGGAACUUUGAUGAUGAGGAAUUCUAUGAGAAUGAGCUGCUGGAUCUCGACACCUCAAAUGAUCAGCUAGGUUUGCAAUCUAAGGCUGGAAGUUGGUUGCUUUCCACGGAUGGAUUUUCUGCAUCAUGGACCGAUGUUCAAAAUCGGCAGUUCGAACCAGCCAGGUCUGGUGCAGUUAAGGAGGGGAGGCCUAUAACUAGCGCGUAAUAAACAGUCCUGGUCCUAUUCAUGUUCAAACUGGCAAGAGCUAGCCAUGAAUCCCAAAAAUCUUCCCAUUUCCCAAAUGGGCAAACCCAUCAUUGGGCAAACCCAUCAUUGGGAAAACCAACAAAGAAGGCAGCACUUGGAAAAUUAUUGCUAUGACACCCAGCAAAGAACCUCUGGAAAGAGGCAGUCAAGAAACCUCAGCAAGAAAGAAGAAAAGUGACCAAGAGUUUACAGCAGAUAGGAAUGAAAUGGGUUGACUUGCCUGACCACCUCUCAAAGUUUUACUUUUCUACAUGGAUGAAAUGGGUUUUUGCUAAGUGAUGCUGCUUACUAUUUGCAGCAUAGAUGGGCAAUAUCUUGUUGCAAGCAGAAUUCUCUCUGGUGCCAUAUAUGCUCAACUGAUUAACUUAGGUAAUUCAUAUUAUAUCAAUCAUCAUCAACUUUAGAGGUUGUUACAUUUCAGUUCCUCAUAUUCAAUUUGUUACCAUAAAUUAAAAAUAUUACAUAAACAUCCCUCAUUCUUAAAAAUGUUACAUAAAAAAUCUCUUAAUUCAUUUUCCGUUCAUUUGUCAGAUGGAACUGGCAUGUGGCAGUAUCACAGUGAAAAUAAGAACUUAAAGAAAUUAAACGUGCCACACAGCCAACACACUAUCUUCUUGAGGUGUAUCAUGUAUGAGGAUAGGAAAUAUCUUAUGUGGCAUUUUCUAUUUUUUAAUUUUUAUUUUUAUAUUGUGAUACUGCCACAUAUCAGUUCUAUUAUAGAAAUGAACAAUAAAUAGUGGAAAUAAUUUUUAUAUGACAUUUUUAAAUAUUAUAAAUUUUGUGGUUAAAAUUAAAGACAAGGAACUGAAGUGUAACUAUCUCCAAAUCGAGAGAUGGUUAAUAUAAAUUACCUGAUUAACUCGGGAUCUGCUGGUGGAGUACAUAUCAGAUGGUGUGUUAGCAUGUCCAGACUAUACUACGGAAUCCCAUACUUUUUAGGGAUUAAACUUUGCAGAAGAACAUUUCAUCAGCAAUCAUUACUGCCAUAAGGUUUCAGAGUGCAACCCUGCAUACUGAUCAAUGUGAGGUGGGAGAGCCAGCCACACACAUAGAUGUGCAGGAUGAAGAAUUGAUCAAAACUUUUUGCUCGGAAUCUAAGUACUUGUUUGGUUCACUGUAGAGAUGGAAUGAGAAUUACUUGGUUCAGAGAACUCCACAUCUCUUCCUCCCUCUCCUUUGCUCUUUCCCUGCCACUUGUAUCUGUGGAAUCAGAUUUUCUUAAAUUGAUGUGUCACAGAUAAUCUGCCUCCGGCUAGUGCACUGGUUUGCUGGGAUUAUCCCUUGAUUUCACAACUCAUAAGCUCUAGACUCCAAUUCUGUAAGUUCAAGGUCUCAAUGUUGUUACCAAUUUCUAUCGCUUUUGAGAUGCUUAUGUGACAAUGUAAGAGAGGUUUCCAUAUCUAUGUGGAACAAAUUAGGUCCAAAUUGCCAACUCAAUGAACUGUAAAAACUUGAAAAUCAAGCUAGAAAUAUUUAUGUACUUGUAAAUUUUGUUCAGAAU
Molecule: RNA transcript, 2746 nt
Organism: Manihot esculenta (cassava)
Lineage: Eukaryota; Viridiplantae; Streptophyta; Magnoliopsida; Malpighiales; Euphorbiaceae
Exons: 5
Source: RefSeq, a predicted model, not a curated record